This 1515-nucleotide long non-coding RNA is filed under the name Betta splendens (Siamese fighting fish). RNAcentral's name for it is "lncRNA (ENSBSLG00000025794.1)". The record is from RNAcentral. Lineage: Eukaryota; Metazoa; Chordata; Actinopteri; Anabantiformes; Osphronemidae.
CAUAGGGGUAUGAUAGAACACCGUGCAUGGUUAUUAUAGGUAAUUCUGAGAAGCCGCUACCAGGGCAGUGUAUUGGGAAUAAGGGAUUUGCAGGAUUUUGUCAGUAAGGAGAGUUCUUUAUUCGUCACCUGUUUAAAUUACUGGAUCAAAAGGUGUCGUUUCCGUUGUUAGUGCUGUUAUUAGCUGGCUUUGCAGUGAUGGCAUGAUCACGGUUGUUUACAGUUUAUGUCAAAGAAGCAGGCUGUAAUGUGUUAAUCAAGCAUUUACUGGAAAUGAAACAGUGGCCGCUUUAUUAUUUACACGAGAAGUGAUGAGCUUGUAGAUGUCAGGUGUAGUUGAAGUGUCCACAUAAAUAAAUACUUCCUAGUGAGUGUGUCUUGAGCUCACUUCUCUUAUCUUUGUGUUAGGACCUCAUCGGUUGCAGCCUCUGACCAGUUCAGCGUGUGCCUGUGUAUGAAGCAAAACAAACAGCCUCACAGGUUACGGCUCCAUUAAUAAAGCAUCCUCCCUGCAGACCCUUACAAUGAUCAGAGACGAGCGCACGGAUGAGACAGGGUUCCCUUUUUACAGGGUUCAUUUUAAUCCUGACUCCUUCCCAGGGUGUUUCCCGAGCGGAGGGAGAGAAUGGCUCCGCUGUCGGCUCAAUGCCCACAGGAACGAAGCGGGGACCAGCGCAUCGUAAGACAACGCACAGCGGUGACUCAGCCUCCAGCAGCAGAAGCAGUCCAGACGAGGCCGGAGUUUAGAGCUGUGUGUCAUUAAGGCCCGCGGACCGCUUCAAGGUUCUGUGGUACCUCUGCUGGAAGACGUCUCCGUGGUUGAGUCACUGCUUAGAAAGCUUCCACAUCCUGCCUUCGCUGAGACACCAGGAGGAUAGACAGACAGAUAGAUAUGUAUUAUCUGAGGUGUUUACCAAAGCCGCACUACAGAGUAGAGAGAGGAGCCCACAGCACAUACACAUCAAGCGAAGGAUGUUCCAGUGCUCUGAUUUCUCAAGCAGAUAUACAGAAAACCCAUCGCCAAAGAAUGAAGGUGAGGCUCUCUAGAGAAAACCCCAUCUCUGGUUCUUUAAUGCAGAAAAAACACAGAGGAUCAGCUGCUUAAUCUAAAGCUCAGUCAACAGCAACAUCUACCGCAGGUAGAAUUGAUCACGAUUGUAGGUUUUCUGUCUAGACCAGCGUCACAUGCCUGAUAUACAGUAUUUACUGUGCUGAUGUUUGCUGCAUGCAGUGGCUGCACACCUCCUCAGCAGAGUGCCUGCUAAAAAUAACACCUGAUGCAGACCAGCCACAGACCCCAGCAAUGCGUACAGUUACAUCUAUCGAUCAUUAUCUAGCUGACACGUCCAGAAGACCUCCUGCUGCUCUGUGAAUAUGCAUCCUGGCGCUGAUUAAGUGCGGUUCUGCCCUCCUGACCUGCUGGAUCGGUCCUGGUCGUGUGUCCAGACCAGCGCUCAGCUGCACAGUACAGUAACCCAUGAAUUAGUUAGGCUUCCCUAUUAUUUUAGCUCGUCCU